This 400-nucleotide ribosomal RNA is filed under the name uncultured bacterium. Its description in RNAcentral is "bacterial SSU rRNA". It matches the Rfam family "Bacterial small subunit ribosomal RNA", at positions 355 to 772 of the family's 1533-position model. The record is from RNAcentral.
UGGGGAAUCUUGCACAAUGGAGGAAACUCUGAUGCAGCGACGCCGCGUGGACGAUGAAGCCCUUCGGGGUGUAAAGUCCUUUCGACCGGAACGAUAAUGACGGUACCGGUGGAAGAAGCUGCGGCUAACUACGUGCCAGCAGCCGCGGUAAUACGUAGGCAGCAAGCGUUGUUCGGAAUUAUUGGGCGUAAAGAGCUCGUAGGCGGUUUGCCAAGUUUGGUGUGAAAUCUCCCGGCUUAACUGGGAGGGUGCGCCGAAUACUAGCAGGCUAGAGUACGGGAGAGGAAAGCGGAAUUCCUGGUGUAGCGGUGAAAUGCGUAGAUAUCAGGAGGAACACCUGCGGUGUAGACGGCUUUCUGGACCGAAACUGACGCUGAGGAGCGAAAGCGUGGGUAGCAAA